Molecule: long non-coding RNA, 1256 nt
Filed under: Takifugu rubripes (torafugu)
Lineage: Eukaryota; Metazoa; Chordata; Actinopteri; Tetraodontiformes; Tetraodontidae
Description: lncRNA (ENSTRUG00000027373.1)
Source: RNAcentral
ACAGUAUAUUCAACUGGCCCAUUGCAGUGUUGUGAUCUUGUUUUGGUAAAGCAAAUGUUUUUUGAUUUUGCUCCGUGUUUUAGGUCAUCAUGCUCAGAUGUAGAAUUCCUCCUCAGAUGUAGAAUUCCUAAGCUUUUUAGCAGAGGCCUUAAAAAAUGCUCCAGAAUUGACUGGAAUUCAAAGCUAUUGAAUGUUCCUUCAUACUGAUUAAUGUCACACACAGCCGAAAGUGAACAAAAACAGCCCCACAUCAGGAUGCUGCUGCCUGAUUUUCUUUUGAUGAUGUGAUAGGAUUGGAUGUUCUUGAUGUUUAAAAAGUGUUGCUGGUUGUAAUUGUUGUGUUUUGCUAGUCUGUUUUACUGUGUUGUAUAAGAAUUUGGAAGAAGUUUUUACUUUUUUGUGCUACAGGCACAUGUACAGAAAUUGUGGGUGACAAACAUAGAAUGCAUUGGAGUGCCAGUGGAUGGCUGCACUUGAGCCCAUUUAUAUGACAUUUUCAUAAUUCAUCGGUAAAAGAGUUCCCUGUGCAAAGGACCAAGUACUGACGACAAUCUCCAUCCACUCAGACCACCAAUACACUGUAGUACACAUGCCAGGCAAGUGGGUGGCGGUAAGGAAGCAGACAUGCGUAUAUGUGGAGUCAUUUAAUCUUUGGAGCCAUAAAGAAUCAUGGAACAACUCCAGGUUGUUAGGAACGGUUGUAUCAGGACCCGGAAGCAGGCAACACACAGUGGAGAAUGGUGUCCGAAAAGCAUUUUAAAGUGAACAAGAACAGUUCGGUCCGCGUUCACAGAGAGGCAUAGAGACCUCGACUGAGUCCAAAACAAGUCUGCAAGGAAAACUCUCAAAAUAGUUAAGUUCGCGAUAAGAACAAAAACACUCCAACGCUGGCAGACGGGAGUUCUGUCCUUAAAUGGAACAGUAGAUUGAAGAUAGGCCGGAGGUGCGUCUGUCUGCAGUGCCAGCUGUGGCUGAUGAAUGGUUCCUCCACGCCCCCUGCAGGAAGAAACCAGCAACAGUUGCCAGAAACUGGGAACCCAACACAGAAUCAGAAGGCACGUGGAAUACGUCUGCAAGAUGUUUGGAACAGCUCUCUCCAGUAAUGGCUUUGUUUGUCACUGUUUUGAGACUAAUAAAACCAGCUUUACCAUAAUAUCCAGCUUCUCAAUGACAUUUUUGUUUCGCCAAACUUAAAUGCAAUUUUGGCUCUCUGGUAGAAGUGUGUCUCAACACACGGCAUUUAUCGUUGGUCACAC